This 114-nucleotide ribosomal RNA is filed under the name Chinchilla lanigera (long-tailed chinchilla). Lineage: Eukaryota; Metazoa; Chordata; Mammalia; Rodentia; Chinchillidae. The record is from RNAcentral.
CAGAACGGUGAUACCGCCCUGAAUAUGCGCGGUGUCGUCUGAUCUUGGAAGCUAAGCAGGGUCGGGCCUGGUUAGUACUUGAAUGGGAGAAAAUGGAAAGAUACACUGUUCCUG